Molecule: ribosomal RNA, 440 nt
Filed under: uncultured bacterium
Lineage: Bacteria
Description: partial 16S ribosomal RNA
Rfam family: Bacterial small subunit ribosomal RNA
Source: RNAcentral
CCUACUUCUGGCAGCAGUGGGGGAUAUUGCACAAUGGGGGAAACCCUGAUGCAGCGACGCCGCGUGUAGGAAGACGGUCCUCUGGAUUGUAAACUACUGUCCCCAGGGACGAAGAUGACGGUACCUGGGGAGGAAGCUCCGGCUAACUACGUGCCAGCAGCCGCGGUAAUACGUAGGGAGCGAGCGUUGUCCGGAAGUACUGGGUGUAAAGGGAGCGUAGGCGGGGAUGCAAGUUGGGGGUUAAAUCUACCGGCUCAACUGGUAGUCGCACUCAAAACUGCAGCUCUUGAGUGAAGUAGAGGCAGGCGGAAUUCCUAGUGUAGCGGUGAAAUGCGUAGAUAUUAGGAGGAACACCAGUUGCGAAGGCGGCCUGCUGGGCUUUUACUGACGCUGAGGCUCGAAAGUGUGGGGAGCAAACAGGAUUAGAUACCCCGGUAGUC